This 754-nucleotide ribosomal RNA is filed under the name uncultured Enterobacteriaceae bacterium. RNAcentral describes it as "SSU rRNA". It matches the Rfam family "Bacterial small subunit ribosomal RNA", at positions 57 to 802 of the family's 1533-position model. Lineage: Bacteria; Pseudomonadati; Pseudomonadota; Gammaproteobacteria; Enterobacterales; Enterobacteriaceae. The record is from RNAcentral.
GCAAGUCGAGCGGUAGCACAGAGAGCUUGCUCUCGGGUGACGAGCGGCGGACGGGUGAGUAAUGUCUGGGAAACUGCCUGAUGGAGGGGGAUAACUACUGGAAACGGUAGCUAAUACCGCAUAACGUCGCAAGACCAAAGUGGGGGACCUUCGGGCCUCAUGCCAUCAGAUGUGCCCAGAUGGGAUUAGCUAGUAGGUGGGGUAACGGCUCACCUAGGCGACGAUCCCUAGCUGGUCUGAGAGGAUGACCAGCCACACUGGAACUGAGACACGGUCCAGACUCCUACGGGAGGCAGCAGUGGGGAAUAUUGCACAAUGGGCGCAAGCCUGAUGCAGCCAUGCCGCGUGUGUGAAGAAGGCCUUCGGGUUGUAAAGCACUUUCAGCGGGGAGGAAGGCGGUGAGGUUAAUAACCUCAUCGAUUGACGUUACCCGCAGAAGAAGCACCGGCUAACUCCGUGCCAGCAGCCGCGGUAAUACGGAGGGUGCAAGCGUUAAUCGGAAUUACUGGGCGUAAAGCGCGCGCAGGCGGUCUGUCAAGUCGGAUGUGAAAUCCCCGGGCUCAACCUGGGAACUGCAUUCGAAACUGGCAGGCUAGAGUCUUGUAGAGGGGGGUACGAUUCCAGGUGUAGCGGUGAAAUGCGUAGAGAUCUGGAGGAAUACCGGUGGCGAAGGCGGCCCCCUGGACAAAGACUGACGCUCAGGUGCGAAAGCGUGGGGAGCAAACAGGAUUAGAUAUCCUGGUAGUCCACGCCG